RNAcentral lists this ribosomal RNA (438 nucleotides) under Triticum aestivum (bread wheat). RNAcentral's name for it is "partial small subunit ribosomal RNA". Lineage: Eukaryota; Viridiplantae; Streptophyta; Magnoliopsida; Poales; Poaceae. The record is from RNAcentral.
AUGAAGCUAAAUGCCUCUGCGGGGCCUGAUGGUUUCAAUGUCGAAUUCUACAUUGCUACCUGGAGUUGGAUUGGUGACGAUGUCACUGCUAUGGUGAGAAAUUUUUACCAGACAUGUAUAAUGCCAUCACAUAUUAGUGAUACUCACAUUGAUCUUAUUCCUAUGAAAUUGGUCUCAAAAAUACCUUCUGACUAUCGACCUAUCAUCCUUUGCAAUGUCAUUUAUAAGAUCAUUUCCAAAACCUUGGCCAACAGAUUGAAGCCUCACCUUCCUGACUAUAUUGAUCCUUCCCAACAAGCCUUCAUUAAAGGUAGACGCAUAUCCAAUAAUAUCAUCUUAGCCCAAGAGAUCACUCACACUUUUGCCCUUAAGUCUUGGAAACAACAAGCGUUCUUGCUUAAAAUUGAUUUGGCCAAGGCUUUUGAUCGCCUUGAAUGA